Molecule: ribosomal RNA, 483 nt
Filed under: uncultured bacterium
Lineage: Bacteria
Description: partial 16S ribosomal RNA
Rfam family: Bacterial small subunit ribosomal RNA
Source: RNAcentral
UUGAACGCUGGCGGCAGGCCUAACACAUGCAAGUCGAGCGGAUGAAGGGAGCUUGCUCCUGGAUUCAGCGGCGGACGGGUGAGUAAUGCCUAGGAAUCUGCCUGGUAGUGGGGGAUAACGUCCGGAAACGGGCGCUAAUACCGCAUACGUCCUGAGGGAGAAAGUGGGGGAUCUUCGGACCUCACGCUAUCAGAUGAGCCUAGGUCGGAUUAGCUAGUUGGUGGGGUAAAGGCCUACCAAGGCGACGAUCCGUAACUGGUCUGAGAGGAUGAUCAGUCACACUGGAACUGAGACACGGUCCAGACUCCUACGGGAGGCAGCAGUGGGGAAUAUUGGACAAUGGGCGAAAGCCUGAUCCAGCCAUGCCGCGUGUGUGAAGAAGGUCUUCGGAUUGUAAAGCACUUUAAGUUGGGAGGAAGGGCAGUAAGUUAAUACCUUGCUGUUUUGGCGUUACCAACAGAAUAAGCACCGGCUAACUUCGUG